Molecule: long non-coding RNA, 200 nt
Organism: Tachysurus vachellii
Lineage: Eukaryota; Metazoa; Chordata; Actinopteri; Siluriformes; Bagridae
Exons: 3
Source: RefSeq, a predicted model, not a curated record
CUGUGAUCUCUGGAUCAUUUAAUCAAUGUACAUGUAGUAAUAGGUUCCUGCUGCAUGCUAUUAGCUGCCUGGGGAGAAUCACCACCCGUCAUGAUGGAUGAAUGUGGCAGUGACUCCUUCAUUCCAGCACUAAGGACCUGAUGAUGAUCCUGUUCAGGAUAAAACCAAAAGUGAGAGACAUAACAACUCAUCACUUUCAG